AGGACACCAUGGAACACUGUGCUGCCAUAGCUCUUACAUCCCUCCUGACUAUGAUGCUGAUUUCGUUUUCAAUCGUCUCCACACUUUCUGAGCCAGCUGAAAAAGAAGCAGCUCAAAAUAGAAGUCUCCAAAUGUUAAGGGUUUUUUUUAUGUGUAUGGAUGUUUGCAUCCUGUAUGUCUGUUCAUCUUGUUUGUCCUUGAUGCCCAUGGAGGAGAAC
Molecule: long non-coding RNA, 218 nt
Organism: Microtus oregoni (creeping vole)
Lineage: Eukaryota; Metazoa; Chordata; Mammalia; Rodentia; Cricetidae
Exons: 3
Source: RefSeq, a predicted model, not a curated record